RNAcentral lists this unclassified non-coding RNA (369 nucleotides) under Genea sphaerica. Its description in RNAcentral is "sequence contains 5.8S rRNA gene". The stretch from base 1 to 53 matches the Rfam family "5.8S ribosomal RNA", at positions 102 to 154 of the family's 154-position model. Lineage: Eukaryota; Fungi; Ascomycota; Pezizomycetes; Pezizales; Pyronemataceae. The record is from RNAcentral.
GAACGCACAUUGCGCCUUCUGGUAUUCCGGGAGGCAUGCCUGUUCGAGAGUCAUUGACACAAACCACAUCGUCGACCCUCACCUUUCUAAAGGGGGGUGGGGGGUCGUCGGCGGUCCUGGUGGAUGAGGGGGGAAUAGUUGGCAAAUAUAUAUAAUAAUCUCCUCCCCACCGAAAUUGAGAGGCAGUCUGUGAGUGAUAAAAACCCACAUAUGUUCGUUUAUGGCGUUGUAUAGACGGCUCUCAAAUUGUGGAGCCAACUCUGUUCGCUUGUAACAAACUUCCCUGGGUCUUACCUCGACUAGCCUUCCAAAGUUCCUAAAAUCUCAAGGGUUUGACCUCGGAUCAGGUAGGGAUACCCGCUGAACUUA